GGAGCAACUAUGGAUUUCUGACUUAAACUUGGCUAGUAAUAAGGUCAAUAUAAUAUUGAAAUGCAUGGGAAUAAUUCCCCUUCUGCACGGACAGCUAACUUCAUAAGUCUGAAGGAUUAAUAAAACAACUGGGUGCCUUGUGGGUAACGGUGAGGACUGGAGGGAAGUUCCUCCCGUGUGGCAGGCGGGCCGUGACAGCUCCGAGAUGCUCCUUGACCUGAGAGGAAGGGAAAACAACAUCAAUGGCCACCAGGGACGCUGGAGGUGUCGGUGGAUGAAGGCACGCUGCCAAUAACACCAGACUUGUGUGUAUACACUGUAG
Xiphias gladius (swordfish) is the source of this 322-nucleotide long non-coding RNA. RefSeq lists it as uncharacterized. The transcript is spliced from 3 exons. The record is from RefSeq and is a predicted model, not a curated record. NCBI's taxonomy places the organism in Eukaryota, Metazoa, Chordata, Actinopteri, Istiophoriformes, Xiphiidae.